CUAGCCGUAAACGAUGGAUACUAGGUGUGGGUGUCGCAGGGCAUCCGUGCCGCAGUUAACGCGUUAAGUAUCCCGCCUGGGGACUACGGUCGCAAGACUGAAACUCAAAGGAAUUGACGGGGGCCCGCAUAAGCGGUGGAGCACGUGGUUUAAUUCGAUGCAAACCGAAGAACCUUACCUGGGUUUGACAUGCAGGUGUUAGUGAAGAGAGAUCGGAACGACUCUGCAGUAAUGCAGAGAGGCUGCACAGGUGC
Molecule: ribosomal RNA, 254 nt
Filed under: uncultured Synergistaceae bacterium
Lineage: Bacteria; Thermotogati; Synergistota; Synergistia; Synergistales; Synergistaceae
Description: partial 16S ribosomal RNA
Rfam family: Bacterial small subunit ribosomal RNA
Source: RNAcentral